CUGGAGUUGACAAAAAUCCACCAGACUUCUAGAAGGUCUGCAGCUCCUUCAAAAUGAAACGAGAAUCUGUGCAGUUUUUCCUCUUCUGUGUUCUGAGGUUAUGAGCCGACAAUUAGUCCAGUUUGUUUUCAUAAUGUUCUGUAUGCUAAUUUAAAAAAGGGUAACCAGUUUGUUUAUAAAGUAUACAUAUACAUAUACAAAACAAAUGGAAUACAAGCUAUAGUAUUACUCUCACCACAGUGGCCUAAUCUAAAAAAAUAGAAAUAUGUCUCGUCACCUAUUUUCUGUCUAAUACUAAAAGGUGGUGUUUUGUAUCAUUUAUAAUGUUUUGAAUUUGCUAUAAAGGUCAAUAAUAGAUGGUGUUUUUGUGUUCAAUCACAGUAUGUAUUUACCAUUUUAUACCCCUUGUGUUUUUGGGUCCUGUUGAAAUAAAACUUGAUUUAAUAAAGUCAUAUAAGUCCCAUAAUAAUGUCAAUCAUCUUUGAUCCCAGUGUGACACAAACAGCUUUGUUCAGUCUAAAACUAUUUAUAACCUAGAAACAUAAUAUAACUGAAGAACAUGUUGUGUUGCUGUUGUGUAUGUAUGUGUUGAGAAUGCUGAACAUUUUGUGCCUUACAAUAAAGGAACUUAUUUAAAUUAA
This is a long non-coding RNA of Gymnodraco acuticeps, 641 nucleotides long. RefSeq lists it as uncharacterized. The record is from RefSeq and is a predicted model, not a curated record. The transcript has 2 exons. NCBI's taxonomy places the organism in Eukaryota, Metazoa, Chordata, Actinopteri, Perciformes, Bathydraconidae.